RNAcentral lists this ribosomal RNA (309 nucleotides) under uncultured bacterium. RNAcentral describes it as "bacterial SSU rRNA". It matches the Rfam family "Bacterial small subunit ribosomal RNA", at positions 28 to 333 of the family's 1533-position model. The record is from RNAcentral.
GAUGAACGCUAGCGGCAGGCUUAAUACAUGCAAGUCGAGGGGCAACAGGGGUAGCAAUACCUGCUGGCGACCGGCAAACGGGUGCGGAACACGUACAGAACCUUCCUUUAAGCGGGGAUAGCCCAUAGAAAUGUGGAUUAAUACCCCACUAGUAAUGUUUAAUGGCAUCAUUAGAUAUUUAAAGAUUUAUCACUUAAAGAUGGCUGUGCGGCUGAUUAGGUAGUUGGUCGGGGUAACGGCCCACCAAGCCAACGAUCAGUAACUGGUGUGAGAGCACGACCAGUCACACGGGCACUGAGACACGGGCCC